CCCUUAGAUGUUCUGGGCCGCACACGCGCUACACUGACGAAUGCAACGAGCUUAUAACCUUGGCCGAAAGGUCUGGGUAAUCUCCAAAUUUCGUCGUGAUGGGGAUAGAUUAUUGCAAUUAUUAAUCUUCAACGAGGAAUGCCUAGUAAGCGCAAGUCAUCAGCUUGCGUUGAUUACGUCCCUGCCCUUUGUACACACCGCCCGUCGCUCCUACCGAUUGAAUGGUCCGGUGAAGCGCUCGGACCGCGGCCUCUUGACGGUUUUCCGUCGAUUGGCUGUGGGAAGUUCGUUAAACCUUAUCAUUUAGAGGAAGGAGAAGUCGUAACA
This 327-nucleotide ribosomal RNA is filed under the name uncultured eukaryote. Its description in RNAcentral is "partial 18S ribosomal RNA". It matches the Rfam family "Eukaryotic small subunit ribosomal RNA", at positions 1470 to 1796 of the family's 1831-position model. The record is from RNAcentral.